This 1212-nucleotide ribosomal RNA is filed under the name Cerynia lineola. RNAcentral's name for it is "large subunit ribosomal RNA". The stretch from base 988 to 1146 matches the Rfam family "Archaeal large subunit ribosomal RNA", at positions 2542 to 2701 of the family's 2987-position model. The record is from RNAcentral. Lineage: Eukaryota; Metazoa; Arthropoda; Insecta; Hemiptera; Flatidae.
AGUUACAUAGUUUUUUUUUUUUUUUUUUUUUUUUUAAUUAAAAUUUUUUUUUUGUUAAUUCUUUAUUUUAUUUAAAUUUUUUUUAGAAAAACUGUAAAGGUAAAAUUUAUUUUAUUUUGAAUAUAAAUUUUUUUUUGUACCUUUUGUGUCAGGGUUAAUUUAAUUAUUAGAUUUAUUUUUUUUUCCCGAAUAGUUAAGAUUUAUAUUUUUUUUGUAUUUUAUUGUUGAAUAAAUAUUUAAAAAUUAAUUAUAGUUUUGAAAUGAAAUUUCGUUUGAUUUGGUAUCUGGUUAACUAAGAUAAAAUUUAAUUUUAGAUUUUUUUUUUGUUUAUUUAUUUUUUUUUUUCAUUUAAAUUUCUUAUUUUAAGGGGGAUAAGCUCUUUUUUUUAAUAUAAUUAUUUUUUUAGUUGAUAAUUUUUUGUAGAUUUAGUAUCUGUUUUCAUUGAAAUUUCGUUAAAGAUUGUUAUUUUUUUUUAAUAAUAUUUUUUAUAUUUUUAUUAGUUUUUUUUAUUUAAUUUUUUUUAAUUUAAUAAUGAUUAAAUUAGUAAGAUCAAAAUUUAGUUAUAUGAAUUCGGCAAAUAAAAUUUUCGCCUGUUUAUCAAAAACAUGUCUUUUAGGGUUUUUUAAAAGUCUGGCCUGCUCAAUGAUUAUUAAAUAGCCGCAGUAUUUUGACUGUGCAAAGGUAGCAUAAUAAUUAGUCUUUUAAUUGAGGUCUGGUAUGAAUGGUUAAACGAAAAAUUUUCUUUAUUUAAUUAAUUAGAUUUAAAUUUUUAUUUUUGGUUAAAAUACUAAAUUGUUUAAAAGGGACGAUAAGACCCUAUAGAUCUUAAUAAUUUUUUUAUUUUUUUUUUUGUUGUUGUUUUUUGAAAUUAUUAAAUUCUUUAUUUAGUUGGGGUAAUUGAUAAAAUUUUAAAUUUUAUUUUUUAUUAACAUUUUUUUUUGGUUUUUUGAUCUUUAAUUUUUGAUUUUUAGAUAAAGAUACCUUAGGGAUAACAGCUUAAUUUGUCUGGAGAGUUCAAAUUUAUAGGCAAGAUUGUGACCUCGAUGUUGGAUUAAUUUUUGUUUGUGGGGUAGGUUCUACAAAUCUAGGUCUGUUCGACCUUUAAAAUUUUACAUGAUCUGAGUUCAGACCGGCGUGAGCCAGGUCGGUUUCUAUCUUUUUAUAUGAAUUUUUAAUUAGUACGAAAGGACUUUUAAAAUGUAAUAUUUAUUU